This 256-nucleotide ribosomal RNA is filed under the name uncultured bacterium. RNAcentral's name for it is "partial 16S ribosomal RNA". It matches the Rfam family "Bacterial small subunit ribosomal RNA", at positions 524 to 776 of the family's 1533-position model. The record is from RNAcentral.
GACAGAGGAGCCAAGCGUUGUCCGGAUUGACUGGGCGUAAAGCGCACGCAGGCGGCCCGGCGCGUGGGGUGUGAAAGCUGGCGGCUUAACUGCCAGACGCCAUCCCAUACGGCUGGGCUCGAGCCCUGCAGAGGUCCAUGGAAUUGCCGGUGUAGUGGUGAAAUGCGUAGAGAUCGGCAGGAACACCCAGGGGGAAACCAGUGGACUGGGCAGGGACGCUGACGCUGCAGGUGCGAAAGCGUGGGGAGCGAACCGG